RNAcentral lists this ribosomal RNA (490 nucleotides) under uncultured bacterium. Its description in RNAcentral is "partial 16S ribosomal RNA". It matches the Rfam family "Bacterial small subunit ribosomal RNA", at positions 28 to 507 of the family's 1533-position model. The record is from RNAcentral.
GAUGAACGCUAGCGAUAGGCUUAACACAUGCAAGUCGAGGGGCAGCAUGGUCUUAGCUUGCUAAGGCUGAUGGCGACCGGCACACGGGUGCGUAACGCGUAUGCAACUUGCCUCACAGAGGGGGAUAACCCGUCGAAAGACGGACUAAUACCGCGUACACUCUAUGUUGGGCAUCCAAUGUAGAGGAAAUGAAAUUCGCUGUGAGAUAGGCAUGCGUCCCAUUAGCUAGUUGGUGAGGUAACGGCUCACCAAGGCGACGAUGGGUAGGGGAACUGAGAGGUUGAACCCCCACACUGGGACUGAGACACGGACCAGACUCCUACGGGAGGCAGCAGUGAGGAAUAUUGGUCAAUGGGCGAGAGCCUGAACCAGCCAAGUCGCGUGAAGGAUGACUGUCUUAUGGAUUGUAAACUUCUUUUAGACGGGAAUAACAAGAGUCACGUGUGGCUCCCUGCAUGUACCGUAUGAAUAAGCAUCGGCUAACUCCGUG